RNAcentral lists this unclassified non-coding RNA (238 nucleotides) under Hevea brasiliensis (rubber tree). Lineage: Eukaryota; Viridiplantae; Streptophyta; Magnoliopsida; Malpighiales; Euphorbiaceae. The record is from RNAcentral.
GCUCACUAUUGCUAAUGUGCGGCCCGAAAAGAGUAAGAUAAUCCCAAACCAAAGCUACGGCGGACCGGACUUUUCUGCUAAGAGGUCGUCACUUCCUAGCCUUCCUAACUUGCCUUCAGAGCUUUAUUCAUUCGAUACUUCUUCUUCAAUUGAGCUCCUUCUUAUAAAGGAUGUUCUAUGAGUUGUUUUACGUUGCUUGUAGGUGUUAUCGGAGAUAGCAGCCGUAUCGCUCACGUAG